CCAGUCCAGCUCCCACCAAACCUCAUGGCAAAAAACCAAUUAACUUCAAUGGGAGCAGGAUCUGGCACCAAGUGCUUUAAACUGUUGGCUGGAAUAAUCACAGACAGAUGGAAACAACAAUGCACUGCAAUGCUUAGCCUACCCCUUGCUUCCCAUUAUUCCUAAUUGGCAUCUUGAAAGAGCAGGGAAUAGACAAUGCAAGCAAGCAAUGAAAGAAAUGCAGAUCAAAAUGAAACAUGCAUGUUUAGGAAAGAAUUAAUAUAAACUACAGAUAUUAGAAGGAGAAGCCAAGGGAAUGACAUGAGGAGCUACUAAACCUACUGGCCUUGCUCUUCAAAUUCUGUUUUGGAUAAUAAUACAUGCUCCAGUCCUGAAUGCAGGACUUUUCUAACACAGAGCUGGUUUAAAGGUGACAUUCAAGGAGUAUCUUGAUUCAACAGUUCAGAUGAGAUGCUAGGAACAGAUUCCUUUUCAGCCUCGUAAUCUUCCUGCUUUAACAAUAAACUUGGAUUUAUUUUAUACUA
Molecule: long non-coding RNA, 524 nt
Organism: Pseudopipra pipra
Lineage: Eukaryota; Metazoa; Chordata; Aves; Passeriformes; Pipridae
Exons: 3
Source: RefSeq, a predicted model, not a curated record